Molecule: ribosomal RNA, 255 nt
Filed under: uncultured bacterium
Lineage: Bacteria
Description: partial 16S ribosomal RNA
Rfam family: Bacterial small subunit ribosomal RNA
Source: RNAcentral
UACGUAGGGUGCAGGCGUUAAUCGGAAUUACUGGGCGUAAAGCGUGCGCAGGCGGUUUGCUAAGACAGGUGUGAAAUCCCCCGGGCUUAACCUGGGACUGCAUUUGUGACUGCAUCGCUGGAGUGCGGCAGGAGGGGGAUGGAAUUCCGGCGUGUAGCAGUGAAAUGCGUAGAUAUGCGGAGGAACACCGAUGGCGAAGGCAGGUCUCUGGGCUGACACUGACGCUCAUGCACGAAAGCGUGGGGAGCAAACAGG